AGGAUCACGUGAGAAACCUGCCCCAGACUUUGGGAUAACAGUUGGAAACGACUGCUAAUACCGAAUGACGUCGGAGAACCGCAUGGUUCACUGACGAAAGGAAAUCCGGUUUGGGAGGGUCUCGCGGCCUAUCAGCUAGUUGGCGGGGUAAUAGCCCACCAAGGCGACGAUCCGUAGCUGGUCUGAGAGGAUGAUCAGCCACACUGGGACUGAGACACGGCCCAGACUCC
This 230-nucleotide ribosomal RNA is filed under the name uncultured bacterium. Its description in RNAcentral is "partial 16S ribosomal RNA". It matches the Rfam family "Bacterial small subunit ribosomal RNA", at positions 109 to 339 of the family's 1533-position model. The record is from RNAcentral.